This 457-nucleotide ribosomal RNA is filed under the name Diutina catenulata. RNAcentral describes it as "partial large subunit ribosomal RNA". It matches the Rfam family "Eukaryotic large subunit ribosomal RNA", at positions 88 to 666 of the family's 3401-position model. Lineage: Eukaryota; Fungi; Ascomycota; Pichiomycetes; Serinales; Debaryomycetaceae. The record is from RNAcentral.
GGCGAGUGAAGCGGCAAAAGCUCAAAUUUGAAAUCCUUCGGGAGUUGUAAUUUGUAGAGGGGUGUCUUUGGGGCGGCAUUGUCUAUGUUCCUUGGAACAGGACGUCACAGAGGGUGAGAAUCCCGUGCGAUGAUGCCUCAACCAGUACAAGACCCUCUCGACGAGUCGAGUUGUUUGGGAAUGCAGCUCUAAGUGGGUGGUAAAUUCCAUCUAAAGCUAAAUACUGGCGAGAGACCGAUAGCGAACAAGUACAGUGAUGGAAAGAUGAAAAGCACUUUGAAAAGAGAGUGAAACAGUACGUGAAAUUGUUGAAAGGGAAGGGUAGGAGGUGAGGGGAAGAGCUGCUUAGGCGCGGGAGAUAAACAAGCAGGAAGCGCUUCGGUGCGGCCUGGUAAAUAUCCCGUGCUUGUGUGGUUCUUCCGUAAUCCCCUUCUACCGCCCGUCUUGAACCACGGAC